CACACGACCGUACCGCAAACCGACACUGGUGCGCGAGAUGAGUAUUCUAAGGCGCUUGAGAGAACUCAGGAGAAGGAACUCGGCAAAUUGACACCGUAACUUCGGAAGAAGGUGUGCCUUUAGUAGGUGAAGUCCCUCGCGGAUGGAGCCCAAUGAGGUUGCAAAAAAUCGGUGGCUGCGACUGUUUAUUAAAAACACAGCACUCUGCAAACACGAAAGUGGACGUAUAGGGUGUGACGCCUGCCCGGUGCUGGAAGAUUAAAUGAUGGGGUGCAAGCUCUUGAUUGAAGUCCCAGUAAACGGCGGCCGUAACGAUAACGGUCCUAAGGUAGCGAAAUUCCUUGUCGGGUAAGUUCCGACCUGCACGAAUGGCGUAACGAUGGCCACACUGUCUCCUCCUGAGACUCAGCGAAGUUGAAAUGUUUGUGAUGAUGCAAUCUCCCCGCGGAAAGACGGAAAGACCCCAUGAACCUUUACUGUAGCUUUGUAUUGGACUUUGAACAGAUCUGUGUAGGAUAGGUGGGAGGCUUUGAAGCAGGGUCGCUAGAUCUUGUGGAACCAACGUUGAAAUACCACCCUGGUGUGUUUGAGGUUCUAACCUAGGCCCGUAAUCCGGGUUGGGGACAGUGCAUGGUAGGCAGUUUGACUGGGGCGGUCUCCUCCCAAAGUGUAACGGAGGAGUUCGAAGGUACGCUAGUUACGGUCGGACAUCGUGACGAUAGUGCAAUGGCAUAAGCGUGCUUAACUGCGAGACUGACAAGUCGAGCAGAUGCGAAAGCAGGACAUAGUGAUCCGGUGGUUCUGUAUGGAAGGGCCAUCGCUCAACGGAUAAAAGGUACUCUGGGGAUAACAGGCUGAUACCGCCCAAGAGUUCAUAUCGACGGCGGUGUUUGGCACCUCGAUGUCGGCUCAUCUCAUCCUGGGGCUGUAGCCGGUCCCAAGGGUAUGGCUGUUCGCCAUUUAAAGAGGUACGUGAGCUGGGUUUAAAACGUCGUGAGACAGUUUGGUCCCUAUCUUCCGUGGGCGCUGCAGAUUUGAGGAAGCCUGCUCCUAGUACGAGAGGACCGGAGUGGACGCACCUCUGGUGUAUCGGUUGUCACGCCAGUGGCAUUGCCGAGUAGCUAUGUGCGGAAGAGAUAACCGCCGAAAGCAUCUAAGCGGGAAACUCGUUUCAAGAUGAGAUCUGCCGGGGCCUUGAGCCCCCUGAAGAGUCGUUCAAGACCAGGACGUUGAUAGGUCGGGUGUGGAAGCGCAGUAAUGCGUUAAGCUAACCGAUACUAAUUGCUCGUGCGGCUUGACC
This 1300-nucleotide ribosomal RNA is filed under the name metagenome. RNAcentral describes it as "bacterial LSU rRNA". It matches the Rfam family "Bacterial large subunit ribosomal RNA", at positions 1635 to 2925 of the family's 2925-position model. The record is from RNAcentral.